Molecule: ribosomal RNA, 254 nt
Filed under: uncultured bacterium
Lineage: Bacteria
Description: partial 16S ribosomal RNA
Rfam family: Bacterial small subunit ribosomal RNA
Source: RNAcentral
UACGUAGGGUGCAAGCGUUUGUCCGGAAUUAUUGGGCGUAAAGGGCUCGUAGGCGGUUUGUCGCGUCGGGAGUGAAAACAUCUGGCUUAACUGGGUGCUUGCUUUCGGUACGGGCAGACUGGAGGUAUGCAGGGGAGAACGGAAUUCCUGGUGUAGCGGUGAAAUGCGCAGAUAUCAGGAGGAACACCGGUGGCGAAGGCGGUUCUCUGGGCAUUACCUGACGCUGAGGAGCGAAAGUGUGGGGAGCGAACAGG